RNAcentral lists this ribosomal RNA (462 nucleotides) under uncultured soil bacterium. RNAcentral describes it as "bacterial SSU rRNA". It matches the Rfam family "Bacterial small subunit ribosomal RNA", at positions 26 to 488 of the family's 1533-position model. The record is from RNAcentral.
AGAUUGAACGCUGGCGGCAUGCCUUACACAUGCAAGUCGAACGGCAGCACGGGAGCAAUCCUGGUGGCGAGUGGCGAACGGGUGAGUAAUAUAUCGGAACGUGCCCAGUCGUGGGGGAUAACGCAGCGAAAGCUGUGCUAAUACCGCAUACGAUCUAUGGAUGAAAGCGGGGGAUCGCAAGACCUCGCGCGAUUGGAGCGGCCGAUAUCAGAUUAGCUAGUUGGUGGGGUAAAAGCCUACCAAGGCGACGAUCUGUAGCUGGUCUGAGAGGACGACCAGCCACACUGGAACUGAGACACGGUCCAGACUCCUACGGGAGGCAGCAGUGGGGAAUUUUGGACAAGUGGGCGCGAAGCCUGAUCCAGCAAUGCCGCGUGCAGGAUGAAGCCUUCGGUUGUAAACUGCUUUUGUACGAACGUAACGUCUCUCGUAACGUACGGGGACUAAGUGACGGUACGUAAG